AGUUUGAUUAUGGCUCAGAUUGAACGCUGACGGGAUGCUUUACACAUGCAAGUCGAACGGCAGCACGGACUUCGGUCUGGUGGCGAGUGCCGAACGGGUGAGUAAUGUAUCGGAACGUGCCUAGUAGCGGGGGAUAACUACGCGAAAGCGUAAUAAUACCGCAUACGCCCUUCGGGGGAAAGCGGGGGACCUUCGGGCCUCGCACUAUUAGAGCGGCCGAUAUCGGAUUAGCUAGUUGGUGGGGUAACGGCUCGCAGGGCGAUCCGUAGCUGGAUUUGAAGUUGACCAGCCACGCUGAUCGAGACUGCGGCUGACUCCUACGGGAGGCAGCAGUGGGGAAUUUUGGACAAUGGAAACCUGAUCCAGCCAUCCCGCGUGUGCGAUGAAGGCCUUCGGGUUGUAAAAGCACUUUUUGGCAGGAAGAAACGGCACGGGAUAAUACCCCGUGCAACUGACAGUACCUGCAGAAUAAGCACCGGCUAACUACGUGCCAACAGCCGCGAUAUCUAAUGGGGUGCAAAGCGUGUCGAGAUUACUGGGCGUAAAGCGUGCGCAGGCAGUUCAGAAAAGAUAUGAAGAAAUCCCGAAACUUAACUGGAACUGCAUUUUUAACUACCGACUAAGUGUGUCAGAGGGAGGUGGAAUUCCGCGUGUAGCAGUGAAAUGCGUAGAUAUGCGGAGGAACACACCGAUGGCGAAGGCAACCUCCUGGGAUAACACUGACGCUCAUGCACGAAAGCGUGGGAGCAAACAGGAUUAGAUACCCUGGUAGUCCACGCCCUAAACGAUAUCGCUAGCUGUUGUUGAGGGCCUUCGGGCCUGUAUGACCAAUACAACUAACGCGUGAAGUUGACCGCCUGGGAAUUUUCGGUCGCAAGAUUAAACUCAAGGAAUUGACGGGGACCCGCACAGCGAUGGAUGAUGUGGAUUAAUUCGAUGCAACGCAACAACACCUACCCUUGCCAUAUCUGGAAUCCCGAAGAGAUUUGGGAGUGCUCGCAAGAGAACCGGAACACAGGUGCUGCAUGGCUGUCGUCAGCUCGUGUCGUGAGAUGUUGGGUUAAGUCCCGCAACGAGCGCAACCCGCUGUCAUUAGUUGCUACGAAGGGCACUCUAAUGAGACUACCAGUGACAAACCGGAGGAAGAUGAGGGAUGACGUCAAGUCCUCAUGGCCCUUAUGGGUAGGGCUUCACACGUCUCUUAAAUGGUGUCAGGUUUCAGGGGAAUUCGCCCGAGGAGCCAAUCAGAAACCGAUCGUAGUCCGGAUCGCAGUCUGCAACUCGACUGCGUGAAGUCGGAAUCGCUAGUAAUCGCGGAUCAGCAUGUCGCGGUGAAUACGUUCCCGGGUCUUGUACACCGCCCGUCACACCAUGGGAGUGGGUUUUACCAGAAGUAGAUAGCCUAACCGUAAGGGCGAUUACCACGGUAGGAUUCAUGACUGGGGUGAAGUCGUAACAAAGGUAG
Molecule: ribosomal RNA, 1465 nt
Filed under: uncultured Bordetella sp.
Lineage: Bacteria; Pseudomonadati; Pseudomonadota; Betaproteobacteria; Burkholderiales; Alcaligenaceae
Description: partial 16S-23S ribosomal RNA intergenic spacer
Rfam family: Bacterial small subunit ribosomal RNA
Source: RNAcentral